GGUCGGGUGGUGUAGUUGGUUAUCACAUCUCGUUAACAGUUUACUGUGACAAUAAACCGAGAAGGUCCUGGGAUCGAACCCCAGCUUGAUCA
RNAcentral lists this transfer RNA (92 nucleotides) under Lachnellula hyalina. RNAcentral describes it as "tRNA-Val". It matches the Rfam family "tRNA". From Rfam's summary of the family: Transfer RNA (tRNA) molecules are approximately 80 nucleotides in length. Lineage: Eukaryota; Fungi; Ascomycota; Leotiomycetes; Helotiales; Lachnaceae. The record is from RNAcentral.